UGGGGGUGGAGGGGACGAGGGAAUCAGCACGGCCAUGAGGGGUGAGGUGGAGGGAAACGGAGGAGUGGCAGAGGGAAUGGGAGAGGUAGGAGAGGUUGGGCCAGAGAGAGAGAGCAGGCCAGGGGGGGGUGGCGGUGGGGGUGAUACAGGGUUUGUUACAGGGUUUGUUUGGAGAGACGUAGUUUCGAAGGAAAUGAAGUGGGGUUGGAGGUGAAUGAAGGUGGUCUAUGGCUGUUGAUGAGGUUCCAAGACUUAACUCUCUCACCUCCUCCCAUAAGGAAUCUAUUUCUUUCAUGUUUUCUUCUUCUUCUUCUUCUUCUCUUCCUUCUUUAGCUGUCCGUAUCUUAAAC
RNAcentral lists this unclassified non-coding RNA (350 nucleotides) under Hevea brasiliensis (rubber tree). Lineage: Eukaryota; Viridiplantae; Streptophyta; Magnoliopsida; Malpighiales; Euphorbiaceae. The record is from RNAcentral.